AGAUUUCCGAAUGGGGAAACCCAGCAUGAGUUAUGUCAUGUUAUCGAUAUGUGAAUACAUAGCAUAUCAGAAGGCACACCCGGAGAACUGAAACAUCUUAGUACCCGGAGGAAGAGAAAGAAAAUUCGAUUCCCUUAGUAGCGGCGAGCGAAACGGGAAGAGCCCAAACCAACAAGCUUGCUUGUUGGGGUUGUAGGACACUCUAUACGGAGUUACAAAGGACGACAUUAGACGAAUCAUCUGGAAAGAUGAAUCAAAGAAGGUAAUAAUCCUGUAGUCGAAAAUGUUGUCUCUCUUGAGUGGAUCCUGAGUACGACGGAGCACGUGAAAUUCCGUCGGAAUCUGGGAGGACCAUCUCCUAAGGCUAAAUACU
RNAcentral lists this ribosomal RNA (373 nucleotides) under Staphylococcus aureus. RNAcentral describes it as "partial 23S ribosomal RNA". It matches the Rfam family "Bacterial large subunit ribosomal RNA", at positions 108 to 474 of the family's 2925-position model. The record is from RNAcentral. Lineage: Bacteria; Bacillati; Bacillota; Bacilli; Caryophanales; Staphylococcaceae.